RNAcentral lists this unclassified non-coding RNA (348 nucleotides) under soil metagenome. RNAcentral describes it as "partial contains 5.8S ribosomal RNA, internal transcribed spacer 2, and large subunit ribosomal RNA". The stretch from base 1 to 119 matches the Rfam family "5.8S ribosomal RNA", at positions 35 to 154 of the family's 154-position model. The record is from RNAcentral.
GAUGAAGAACGUAGCGAAAUGCGAUAAGUAAUGCGAAUUGCAGAAUCCGUGAGUCAUCGAAUCUUUGAACGCACAUUGCGCCCUCUGGUAUUCCGGAGGGCAUGCCUGUUCGAGCGUCAUUAUCACCCCUCAAGCCCGGCUUGUUGUUGGAUGCAGCGCUUAUCCCGCUCCUCCCAAAGAUAAUGACGGCGUCUGCGACGACUCCUGUACACUGAGCUUUCGGGCACGUACACGGCUAGAAGUCCAGACCCGGUCGCCGUCCCCCCGCGGGGACACCCAUUACCACAAGGUUGACCUCGGAUCAGGUAGGAAUACCCGCUGAACUUAAGCAUAUCAAUAAGCGGAGGA